CAAAUUAUAAUCAUGUAGCAAUUGAUGAUAUUAAUUCCACGCUACUAAUUUAGCAUAGUGAAUAUGUCACGUAAUUAUGUGUAAAUGCUUCUGGCAAUUAAUUACACAUUAAAUAUGGUGAAUAUAUUAACAACAACCAAUAUGAAAAAAUAUUUGGAGAGUCUUAUAGACAUACAUAAUGACUAGGUACGAAAAACCAGUGUCAUUAGAUUAUUUUCCUUUUGUUUGAUUCUGUUGGACCAAAGGAAUUGACUGUAAUUAAAGUGAAAUAAAUAAACCUAGCCUCUACAUACUUUACAAGCCUACGAGGUACAAUCUGAGAGGUAUGCUGGGCUUUUAGGUCCCGUAGAGGGAGAGUAGGCCUAUUAGGCUAAGAAUGGUCUAUCAAGAAAUGCAAUGUUAUUAAUCAACCCUUUCGGUAACUCUAAUUGUAUACGACCAUGUAAGCCAUGAUGAGGUGGUGGAGCGAGGCUCACUUAAGUACACAUCAUCAAAAGUACUUGCCUAAACAUCGCAUCCAACUGGGUGAGCCUAGUUUGAGAAGAGUUAUAAUCAUUGUCAUGGACUUCAAGGCGACACAUGACGAGCUUAUGUUUUAGCCUUGCAGCUUACGUCGAGCUUCUGGCUCAAUUUCAUAUAUAUUCAUGUUUGAUUUAAGCUUCUGACUAAACAUCAUUAAUAUUCACCAAUGUAACAUAAACCAGUGCAAUAUAUGUUAUUAAAUCAUAACAGACAAACUUAAUGUGAAAGUAAUUAUAUGAAACCGAAAUAAAUUAAAUUAUAACGGAAACAAUUUAAUUCUCAUUGACAUAAUGUAUAUGCAAUAAAAUUGGUAUUUACUAAACCAAUAAAUGUCAAUAACGUAGCGGUUACUUGCAAAACUAACUUAUUUGCAUCACCAAUUGCUUCUGGCAUUAAUGUGUCAUUACAUACUCAUAAUAAUUAUCGAUAUAAACGAUAACAUAAUUGAGAACUAAUUGAAUAAAACUGAUGCGAUUUGAAUUUG
RNAcentral lists this long non-coding RNA (1006 nucleotides) under Fragaria vesca (wild strawberry). RNAcentral's name for it is "long non-coding RNA (FVES_LNC001975)". Lineage: Eukaryota; Viridiplantae; Streptophyta; Magnoliopsida; Rosales; Rosaceae. The record is from RNAcentral.